Molecule: long non-coding RNA, 1041 nt
Filed under: Equus caballus (horse)
Lineage: Eukaryota; Metazoa; Chordata; Mammalia; Perissodactyla; Equidae
Description: lncRNA (ENSECAG00000054052.1)
Source: RNAcentral
AACAAAGGUUAUACGGUUCCUGCAAGGUCCUAAAGCAAAUGGGAUUUGAGCCGUGGCCCCCAACUCCUAAGCGCAUGCUCUCUGAACCACGUUACGCACUACACGUCGUACAUGAUACGCCCCCUGUCUGUCCCAUCCGACCGUCCAUCUUCGCCAGAUUCACCAGUCUCCUGAAAGACAUGGCAAUACGUACGUUUCAGAAAUAAGCACAUAUCAGAAGGAAAUCCCAGGAUGAGUGCAGCCCCCGGAUGUGCAGAGAGCAGGCAGCACGAUGCGGCAGUGCACAGAGACGCUCUUCACAGCGGCCCUGACUUUGCUGGGGAGGCAGUUUUUCACCUCCACUUCGUUCCCAAUCACGACAACAACGACAUCAUGGUGCAGAAGGCCUGGUUUGGCUCCAUACCGCGUGGACUCUCCUUUUCAACACACAGCAGGCCUCCAGCUCAGUACCUUUUUUGCGUAGCCACCAGAAAAUUUGAAAUUAUGUAUGUGGCUCACAUUCUACAUCUGUGGGACUUUGCUGGUCUAUGAGAUGGGGACAGUUAAGUUUCCAGUCCCAGCAUGUCUAUCAAAGAUGCUGUGUGUCCUUGAGUAUGGCGCUUUCACAUCCAGCCCUAACUGACCUCACAGGGAUGGAAUAGAGAGGAUCAAACCAUGCAAUUUUCCUUCUGUGGAAACUCCAGUAUUCGUGAGCAUAACACGGCCCAGGGCCUCACUCUGCCUCUCCCGUCUCAGAAUAUGUCCACGGAGGCUGAAAUGUUACCUCAUCCUGGACUCACCAAAAAGUGGUUUGUACCAGAUCUAGAAGCUGGACCUUUGCACCCGGAUGUCCCCAGGUCUCAGGACACUCAUUUGUCAGACUUUAUGUGCAAAGGAGCUGGAGACGUCAUCUCUCUCAUCAUCGUGGGCCCCGAGGUUCCUCACGAUGGGUCUCGUUGUUAAGCUUUCCUCACCCAGAUUAUUGAGUAUUAUUCAUCAAACACAAUUGCUUUGGACUCCACCAGUUAGGAUUCUUACAGGGUACAGAAAAAACAACUCAAA